AGUUCGGAUUGAAGGCUGAAAUUCGCCUUCAUGAAGCCGGAAUUGCUAGUAAUGGCAGGUCAGCAUACUGCCGUGAAUACGUUCCCGGGCCUUGUACACACCGCCCGUCACACCAUGAGAGUUUGUAACACCCAAAGCCGGUGGGGUAACCUUUUGGAGCCAGCCGUCUAAGGUGGGACAGAUGAUUGGGGUGAAGUCGUAACAAGGUACC
RNAcentral lists this ribosomal RNA (211 nucleotides) under uncultured bacterium. RNAcentral describes it as "partial 16S ribosomal RNA". It matches the Rfam family "Bacterial small subunit ribosomal RNA", at positions 1290 to 1500 of the family's 1533-position model. The record is from RNAcentral.